Molecule: long non-coding RNA, 1404 nt
Organism: Canis lupus familiaris (dog)
Lineage: Eukaryota; Metazoa; Chordata; Mammalia; Carnivora; Canidae
Exons: 3
Source: RefSeq, a predicted model, not a curated record
UGCAAAGUGCUUUACAGACAUUGCUUCAUUCAGUCCUCCCUUCUCUGCCUGCUACCCUUCCACAAGCUGUGGAAUCUUGGAGUUGCUCUUAAAUCACUGCAGUGCUGGCUAUGAAUUCUUGGCUUCCACUAUAGGGGUGAGAUGAGAGUAGACCCAGAAAAUUUCUACAAUUGGCACAAAAACUUUGGAGAAAAUCCAUGGCGGCAGUGAAGUGAAUCGACCUGCCUUAUCUCAUCUCUAUCUCUUAUCACCCCUCUUCACAGAGAGUGACUGGGGUCUGGAUGCUACAGGGAAUCUGGGGAAGCAAUGACACUUGACCUUCCCCUGGAGAUCCAGUGCCUGUGGAGCAGGUGUCUGUGACAAUAUGCCACUGGAUAAGCAAUGCUUGAUGGGAUUCUAAUUAAAUUAACCAGAGAAGACAGAAUCUAGGAGGGAAAGUUUCCUUAAAAAGAAUCGCCCAUCUUCCCAGUCUUGCUUCUUAAACUUCCACUCCUGCUUAGGGCGAUUACCAUUCUAAUUGGAAAGAGGUAGAAAGCCAAUGGUGUGGAUGUUGAGAAAUACAAAAUAGAACAUUUCCCUAUUUCUCUAAAUUGUCUGAAAAAACAUCCAGUUGAGGAAAUAAAGAAAAGGGAACUUCGCCGAGUGAUGUGAUUGGAUGUGGGGACAAGGAGAGAUUGAAUUUGGUGUCUAAGGUCCAUGAAGUGGCGUGACACGAUGGAAGACUGCACAGAUCUCGAUCCCAGAAUUUAAAAAUAAAGCCUUUCAAAAACAUCCUUAGGUUUUGCAGUGCUGUUCCAUUUUGAAAAGGCACAAGAACACACUCUAAAAUAAAAGGUUGACGGAUUCGGCUUCUGGUGAGAGUUCUCUUCCUGGCUCGUGGAUGGCUGCAAGAGGGUCUCUUCUUCUGAAGAAAGUCAUCUUGCUGGAUCUGCUGGAUCGGGGCUGUAUCCUUCUGACCUCAUUUAACCUUUAGUUACUUCCAGAAAGGCCCUACUCCAAAUUCAGUCACACUCAGGGAACAUCCUUAUGGCCUACUGUUCCCUGAGAACAGAGGUUCUCACAGUAUGGUCCCUGGGACAGCCACCAGCAUUCAUUGGGGACCUGUUGGAAAUGCACACCCUCAGCUCCUAUCCCAGACCAAUCUUAUCAGAAAGUUGGGGUGGAGGCAAGACCCUGUUUAAACAAGCUCUCUGGGCAAUUGUGAUGCAUAGUAAAGUCCAGAACCACGAAGCUAGGCAAUACUUUAGAGAAGACCAAUUUCCCAAAUCUGGGAAAGACUAUUCGUUAAGGGGUCAGAGGAGUCAUUCGUGUUAAUACUAAGGUCAUAUAAUAUGACUGCAAGAGUUGAAAGGGAGAAGAAAAAUGUGCUUCCGAUUGUAAUGUGCAAAUUAAGACAAAAUUUAA